GUCAAGCCUACGAAGGGCCUCACGGUGGAUACCUUGGCACACAAGGCCAAUGAAGAACGUGUUACCUGCGAUAGUUCUCGGGAGCUGGAGCACCCCUGAUCCGGAUCGAAUGGCAGCCU
This 119-nucleotide ribosomal RNA is filed under the name uncultured Synechococcus sp. RNAcentral describes it as "partial 23S ribosomal RNA". Lineage: Bacteria; Bacillati; Cyanobacteriota; Cyanophyceae; Synechococcales; Synechococcaceae. The record is from RNAcentral.